GUAACUGACCGGAGGGAGCUACUGAAGCGAAGCCUGCCUGGCAGUUAAGCAAGCUGGUUACUUGUUACAUAAAGACUCUGGACUUACGCCUUUAAUGCAACUGGGUUUUUCCUCUGCACAGUCACCAUUUCCUCUCCCACAUCCCCUGCACACGGUAAACAAAGGAGGAUACUCUGCUGGUUCCUGCAGAAGGCGAAGCUCUGACGUGCCCAGAGCAGACAGGACCUCAGGUGACCCUGGUACCUUUGGAUAGAAGAAUCUCUCUGCCACCAGACAGUUCAGUCACCUCCUGAGUGUCCGGCACCCGGGGAAGGACUGAGGAAGUGAUGUGGGGUGCCUGAUUCUGUCACCUGUUCACUUGCAUUUGUGGCUGCGAUUCUCACCGACAGAAUAAGGAACCGAUGUGUGGAGUGAACAGCCCAGAGCAGUGCCCGGUCAAGUUCAAAGUUCAAAAUACGGACACCAGUGGCCCUUACACUGAGUGAGUGUAAUGAGAAGGUGGACGGCCGUGACCGCACAGAGCUCAUUCUAAAUCUGAUUCUGUCAAUGAACUUCAGAGGCACGAUCCCAAGGAAGGCUCUCCAUCUUACCAGGAUCACUGAUACGAUUUUGAAACGGGUCUCAACCACACAUCUUUAAUAGAAGAUGAAAAAACAACCCGAAGUUCAGGUUCAUUGAGUGCUCCUUGGAGCACAGUGGUCAGUCCUGGAGAAGGCAAAGCCCACUCUCACUCUACACCAGUUAGAGGUUCCAGUCCCUGGGAUAGCUCAGCACACGUUCCCGAAUUC
Non-coding RNA from Callorhinus ursinus (northern fur seal), 788 nucleotides. The record is from RefSeq and is a predicted model, not a curated record. Lineage: Eukaryota; Metazoa; Chordata; Mammalia; Carnivora; Otariidae.